RNAcentral lists this long non-coding RNA (246 nucleotides) under Prunus persica (peach). RNAcentral's name for it is "long non-coding RNA (PPER_LNC006853)". The record is from RNAcentral. Lineage: Eukaryota; Viridiplantae; Streptophyta; Magnoliopsida; Rosales; Rosaceae.
GGAUGGGUCACACGUAUUGCCUAUGAUGAUGACCGUGUGAUGCUUGGAUAUCUUGCCGGAGUGCAGUAUCCGGGAUAUUUCACGUGGUAUGUGAUAUCCAUUAUGUGUUGUUUGGUCAUCUAACAGUGUGAGUAUAUCGUGAAGUUCGGGUUACUCUCCUCCACUGUUUUUACUUGAUAAAUUGAGCAUGCUCGUGAUAUUUCAAAUUGAUUUAAGCUCGUGGUUUAAGGAAUUGAUUCAAAUAUG